RNAcentral lists this ribosomal RNA (1353 nucleotides) under Enterococcus durans. RNAcentral describes it as "bacterial SSU rRNA". Lineage: Bacteria; Bacillati; Bacillota; Bacilli; Lactobacillales; Enterococcaceae. The record is from RNAcentral.
GUCGUACGCUUCUUUUUCCACCGGAGCUUGCUCCACCGGAAAAAGAAGAGUGGCGAACGGGUGAGUAACACGUGGGUAACCUGCCCAUCAGAAGGGGAUAACACUUGGAAACAGGUGCUAAUACCGUAUAACAAUCGAAACCGCAUGGUUUUGAUUUGAAAGGCGCUUUCGGGUGUCGCUGAUGGAUGGACCCGCGGUGCAUUAGCUAGUUGGUGAGGUAACGGCUCACCARGGCCACGAUGCAUAGCCGACCUGAGAGGGUGAUCGGCCACAUUGGGACUGAGACACGGCCCAAACUCCUACGGGAGGCAGCAGUAGGGAAUCUUCGGCAAUGGACGAAAGUCUGACCGAGCAACGCCGCGUGAGUGAAGAAGGUUUUCGGAUCGUAAAACUCUGUUGUUAGAGAAGAACAAGGAUGAGAGUAACUGUUCAUCCCUUGACGGUAUCUAACCAGAAAGCCACGGCUAACUACGUGCCAGCAGCCGCGGUAAUACGUAGGUGGCAAGCGUUGUCCGGAUUUAUUGGGCGUAAAGCGAGCGCAGGCGGUUUCUUAAGUCUGAUGUGAAAGCCCCCGGCUCAACCGGGGAGGGUCAUUGGAAACUGGGAGACUUGAGUGCAGAAGAGGAGAGUGGAAUUCCAUGUGUAGCGGUGAAAUGCGUAGAUAUAUGGAGGAACACCAGUGGCGAAAGGCGGCUCUCUGGUCUGUAACUGACGCUGAGGCUCGAAAGCGUGGGGAGCAAACAGGAUUAGAUACCCUGGUAGUCCACGCCGUAAACGAUGAGUGCUAAGUGUUGGAGGGUUUCCGCCCUUCAGUGCUGCAGCUAACGCAUUAAGCACUCCGACUGGGGAGUACAACCGCAAGAUUGAAACUCAAAGGAGUUGACGGGGGCCCGCACAAGCGGUGGAGCAUGUGUUUUAAUUCGAAGCAACGCGAAGAUCCUUACCAGGUCUGGACAUCCUUUGACCACUCUAGAGAUAGAGCUUCCCCUUCGGGGGCAAAGUGACAGGUGGUGCAUGGUUGUCGUCAGCUCGUGUCGUGAGAUGUUGGCGUUAAGUCCCGCAACGAGCGCAACCCUUAUUGUUAGUUGCCAUCAUUUAGUUGGGCACUCUAGCAAGACUGCCGGUGACAAACCGGAGGAAGGUGGGGAUGACGUCAAAUCAUCAUGCCCCUUAUGACCUGGGCUACACACGUGCUACAAUGGGAAGUACAACGAGUCGCGAAGUCGCGAGGCUAAGCUAAUCUCUUAAAGCUUCUCUCAGUUCGGAUUGUAGGCUGCAACUCGCCUACAUGAAGCCGGAAUCGCUAGUAAUCGCGGAUCAGCACGCCGCGGUGAAUACGUUCCCGGGCCUUGU